GGUGGCUCAGUGGUAGAGUGCUUGUCUUGCAUGCAUUAGGCCCUAGGUUCGAAUCCUCAGCACCA
This 65-nucleotide transfer RNA is filed under the name Dipodomys ordii (Ord's kangaroo rat). It matches the Rfam family "tRNA". From Rfam's summary of the family: Transfer RNA (tRNA) molecules are approximately 80 nucleotides in length. Their secondary structure includes four short double-helical elements and three loops (D, anti-codon, and T loops). Further hydrogen bonds mediate the characteristic L-shaped molecular structure. tRNAs have two regions of fundamental functional importance: the anti-codon, which is responsible for specific mRNA codon recognition, and the 3' end, to which the tRNAs corresponding amino acid is attached (by aminoacyl-tRNA synthetases). tRNAs cope with the degeneracy of the genetic code in two manners: having more than one tRNA (with a specific anti-codon) for a particular amino acid; and 'wobble' base-pairing, i.e. permitting non-standard base-pairing at the 3rd anti-codon position. Lineage: Eukaryota; Metazoa; Chordata; Mammalia; Rodentia; Heteromyidae. The record is from Rfam by way of RNAcentral.